UGGGGAAUUUUGGACAAUGGGCGCAAGCCUGAUCCAGCAAUGCCGCGUGCAGGAUGAAGGCCUUCGGGUUGUAAACUGCUUUUGUACGGAACGAAAAGCCUCUCUCUAAUACAGGGGGGUGAUGACGGUACCGUAAGAAUAAGCACCGGCUAACUACGUGCCAGCAGCCGCGGUAACACGUAGGGUGCAAGCGUUAAUCGGAAUUACUGGGCGUAAAGCGUGCGCAGGCGGUUUUGUAAGACAGUGGUGAAAUCCCCGGGCUCAACCUGGGAACUGCCAUUGUGACUGCAAGGCUGGAGUGCGGCAGAGGGGGAUGGAAUUCCGCGUGUAGCAGUGAAAUGCGUAGAUAUGCGGAGGAACACCGAUGGCGAAGGCAAUCCCCUGGGCCUGCACUGACGCUCAUGCACGAAAGCGUGGGGAGCAAACAGGAUUAGAUACCCUGGUAGUCCACGCCCUAAACGAUGUCAACUGGUUGUUGGGG
This 481-nucleotide ribosomal RNA is filed under the name uncultured bacterium. Its description in RNAcentral is "partial 16S ribosomal RNA". It matches the Rfam family "Bacterial small subunit ribosomal RNA", at positions 355 to 828 of the family's 1533-position model. The record is from RNAcentral.